AAGCAUAUCUUAUUUGAAUACUAUAUGCUUAAUCCUGUGCUAGACAUUGAAUAGGAUUUUUUUUAAACAUUGGGUUUUUUCCUACAUCUAAUGGCAUAUAUACUUACUAUGAAAAAUUAAAUAAUAGCAGAAAGCAGUAAAGAAAGUACUCAGCUAGCUCAUCAUGUAGACAAAUCUUGUUUUGUUUUCAUAGUGAUUUUAUGAUCUCCUAUGAAGGACAAUGGAAGUAAAGUGGGGGUUUGUGGGUAGGAAGUCAAAGAUGUUAUCAUAACAUAAAACAAAAUGACUAGAAAUAGUCUCUCCAGAUACACCCCAAAUAGCAGGACUAACUACAAUGGAGAAAAGUCUACAAUUAAGUACUUCCCCAGGGGAGUGUCAAGUAGCCACAGAAGAAGCAAUAACAGACAAUAGGUAGGAGUGGGGACAAGUAAAUUGUCUCAGAGCCCUGCAAGUUCAAAUAAAACAGUGGGACAGAGGUGGCAGUCCUAAGGCAGAAUGAAGAAGAACCAACUGGCAGUAUCAGGAAGAUCUGAAAGCUGGAGGCAGAACCUCAGCUGUAGGGCUAGUGUACAAGUUCUCUGGGGCAGACAGGAAAAACUAAGGUCUUAACCAUAAGAAAUUGGGCAUGACAGAUCUUCAGUACAAGGCGUAAGAUUUGAGAGAACACAAUAAGAAUGCAGCCGCCAACCUAGAGGCAGGAAGUGGUCUCCGGAACCAAAGGACACAGGAUUAGAGCCAGGCAUGAAAGAACACUCACUAACCAAUUUAUACACUGCACGGAACUCUCAGGAUCACAUUGCGCAUGUCCCCAGGUCAUCCAUUUAAUAAACCCAUCUACCAUGUGCCAGGCCCCAGAGUAGGGGUGGAGCACCUAGAAAUGGAGAAUUUAGGAUGAAGAAGGCAUGACCCCAAGGCUUCCGGAAUAUGGUCAAGUGUGAUUCAUGGCUCCUGAACACCACAGAGCUCGGAAAGAGAAAGAAGGCAUCCUGUCCUAUGUCCUUUGUAACUAAGUUCACAGUGACAGCCUUAGAUCUAAAGAGUGAAGCUUCACGGAAUGAAAGAGAAGCUGCCCUUUAAGGUGCUGACCUCAACAACCAGGUACCAAGCAUCUCUUCUGUGCCAAGAAUGAAGAAG
RNAcentral lists this long non-coding RNA (1134 nucleotides) under Ovis aries (sheep). Its description in RNAcentral is "lncRNA (ENSOARG00000025594.1)". Lineage: Eukaryota; Metazoa; Chordata; Mammalia; Artiodactyla; Bovidae. The record is from RNAcentral.